GACGAACGCUGGCGGCGUGCUUAACACAUGCAAGUCGAACGCUGAAGACCUGGCUUUUGUUGGGUUGGAUGAGUGGCGAACGGGUGAGUAACACGUGAGUAACCUGCCCUCUUCUUUGGGAUAACGCCCGGAAACGGGUGCUAAUACUGGAUAUUCACUGGCCUUCGCAUGGGGGUUGGUGGAAAGGUUUGUUCUGGUGGGGGAUGGGCUCGCGGCCUAUCAGCUUGUUGGUGGGGUGAUGGCCUACCAAGGCUUUGACGGGUAGCCGGCCUGAGAGGGUGACCGGUCACAUUGGGACUGAGAUACGGCCCAGACUCCUACGGGAGGCAGCAGUGGGGAAUAAUGCACAAUGGGCGAAAGCCUGAUGCAGCGACGCCGCGUGAGGGAUGGAGGCCUUCGGGUUGUAAACCUCUUUCGCUCAUGGUCAAGCCGCAACUGUGGGUUGUGGUGAGGGUAGUGGGUAAAGAAGCGCCGGCUAACUACGU
Molecule: ribosomal RNA, 485 nt
Filed under: uncultured bacterium
Lineage: Bacteria
Description: partial 16S ribosomal RNA
Rfam family: Bacterial small subunit ribosomal RNA
Source: RNAcentral